Molecule: ribosomal RNA, 395 nt
Filed under: uncultured bacterium
Lineage: Bacteria
Description: partial 16S ribosomal RNA
Rfam family: Bacterial small subunit ribosomal RNA
Source: RNAcentral
CCUACGGGUGGCAGCAGUGAGGAAUAUUGGUCAAUGGGCGCGAGCCUGAACCAGCCAAGUAGCGUGAGGGAUGAAUGUCCUAAGGGUCGUAAACCUCUUUUAUAAAGGAAUAAAGUCAGGGACGUGUCCCCUUUUGAGUGUACUUUAUGAAUAAGCAUCGGCUAACUCCGUGCCAGCAGCCGCGGUAAUACGGAGGAUGCGAGCGUUAUCCGGAUUUAUUGGGUUUAAAGGGUGCGCAGAGGGGCUGUUAAGUCAGUUGUGAAAGCUUGCGGCUCAACCCUAAAACUGCGUUUGAGACUGGCAGUCUUGAGUGCGAUUGAGGUAUGCGGAAUGCGUGGUGUAGCGGUGAAAUGCAUAGAUAUCGCGAAGAACUCCGAUUGCGAAGGCAGCAUGCU